Molecule: long non-coding RNA, 587 nt
Filed under: Physcomitrium patens
Lineage: Eukaryota; Viridiplantae; Streptophyta; Bryopsida; Funariales; Funariaceae
Description: long non-coding RNA (PPAT_LNC000934)
Source: RNAcentral
UAGCACAACAAUGAAUACAUCAAAAGGAGGGUCAAAAAAAAUUAACAUUUGAGAAUAGCAAAAGAAGUAGAUAUGCAUUCGAAUAAAACCUCCAUAUAUCUAAAAAAAUAAAUCCUCCAUAGCAUUAUGUAAAUUCAAAAUUCUUUGCAAAUUUCCAAAAUAUAUAAUAAAAAUCUAUUAAAAUUCUAAAAAAAAAAAAUAAACAAAAUGUCAAAUAUUAGGGAAUAGAAAAAUCUCUUUUCAGCCUACUUUGAAAUCUUUUAAAUGCCUAUACUAUUGCAUUAUGCUACAUUUUAUAAAAUCAACAUGCACAAAAAAAAUUAAGAAAGAAACAACCCUCUUUUAGUGUAAUUUACAUUCUCUGUAGGUCUAUACAACUCAACUCCAAAGUACUCUAAAAUUUUGCAAGCAUACAUGACUCUACCUCUCUAUUGAACCUAUGUCUAUUCUUCUUUGUCCUUGAUCUCCUUCCCUGCCCCUGACCUCAUUUCCAUCUCAAACUCCUUGCUUUGCCCCUCAAUCCUUGCCUCACUUUCAAACUCCUGUACCUCAUUCAAUUCCUUGCCCUUUGAUUCGACCCUCAACCC